ACGGUAGCACAGAGGAGCUUGCUCCUUGGGUGACGAGUGGCGGACGGGUGAGUAAUGUCUGGGAAACUGCCCGAUGGAGGGGGAUAACUACUGGAAACGGUAGCCAAUACCGCAUAACGUCGCAAGACCAAAGAGGGGGACCUUCGGGCCUCUUGCCAUCGGAUGUGCCCAGAUGGGAUUAGCUAGUAGGUGGGGUAACGGCUCACCUAGGCGACGAUCCCUAGCUGGUCUGAGAGGAUGACCAGCCACACUGGAACUGAGACACGGUCCAGACUCCUACGGGAGGCAGCAGUGGGGAAUAUUGCACAAUGGGCGCAAGCCUGAUGCAGCCAUGCCGCGUGUAUGAAGAAGGCCUUCGGGUUGUAAAGUACUUUCAGCGAGGAGGAAGGUGUUGUGGUUAAUAACCGCAGCAAUUGACGUUACUCGCAGAAGAAGCACCGGCUAACUCCGUGCCAGCAGCCGCGGUAAUACGGAGGGUGCAAGCGUUAAUCGGAAUUACUGGGCGUAAAGCGCACGCAGGCGGUCUGUCAAGUCGGAUGUGAAAUCCCCGGGCUCAACCUGGGAACUGCAUCCGAAACUGGCAGGCUAGAGUCUUGUAGAGGGGGGUAGAAUUCCAGGUGUAGCGGUGAAAUGCGUAGAGAUCUGGAGGAAUACCGGUGGCGAUGCGGCCCCCUGGACAAAGACUGACGCUCACGUGCGAAAGCGUGGGGAGCAAACAGGAUUAGAUACCCUG
RNAcentral lists this ribosomal RNA (733 nucleotides) under uncultured bacterium. RNAcentral's name for it is "bacterial SSU rRNA". It matches the Rfam family "Bacterial small subunit ribosomal RNA", at positions 66 to 789 of the family's 1533-position model. The record is from RNAcentral.